This 467-nucleotide ribosomal RNA is filed under the name uncultured bacterium. RNAcentral's name for it is "partial 16S ribosomal RNA". It matches the Rfam family "Bacterial small subunit ribosomal RNA", at positions 29 to 507 of the family's 1533-position model. The record is from RNAcentral.
ACGCACGCUGGCGGCGUGCUUCACACCUGCAAGUCGCACGGAAAGGCCCUGCUUUUGUGGGGUGCUCGAGUGGCGAACGGGUGAGUAACACGUGAGUAACCUGCCCUUGACUUUGGGAUAACUUCAGGAAACUGGGGCUAAUACCGGAUAGGAGCUCCUGCUGCAUGGUGGGGGUUGGAAAGUUUCGGCGGUUGGGGAUGGACUCGCGGCUUAUCAGCUUGUUGGUGGGGUAGUGGCUUACCAAGGCUUUGACGGGUAGCCGGCCUGAGAGGGUGACCGGCCACAUUGGGACUGAGAUACGGCCCAGACUCCUACGGGAGGCAGCAGUGGGGAAUAUUGCACAAUGGGCGGAAGCCUGAUGCAGCAACGCCGCGUGCGGGAUGACGGCCUUCGGGUUGUAAACCGCUUUCGCCUGUGACAAAGCGUGAGUGACGGUAAUGGGUAAAGAAGCACCGGCUAACUACGUG